GGAAUAUUGCGCAAUGGGGGAAACCCUGACGCAGCAACGCCGCGUGAGUGAUGAAGGUCUUCGGAUUGUAAAACUCUGUCUUUGGGGACGAUAAUGACGGUACCCAAGGAGGAAGCCACGGCUAACUACGUGCCAGCAGCCGCGGUAAUACGUAGGUGGCAAGCGUUGUCCGGAUUUACUGGGCGUAAAGAGUAUGUAGGCGGACAUUUAAGUCAGAUGUGAAAUCCCCGGGCUUAACCUGGGAGCUGCAUUUGAUACUGGGUGUCUAGAGUGUAGGAGAGGAAAGUGGAAUUCCUAGUGUAGCGGUGAAAUGCGUAGAGAUUAGGAAGAACACCAGUGGCGAAGGCGACUUUCUGGACUAUAACUGACGCUGAGAUACGAAAGCGUGGGGAGCAAACA
This 399-nucleotide ribosomal RNA is filed under the name uncultured Clostridium sp. Its description in RNAcentral is "bacterial SSU rRNA". It matches the Rfam family "Bacterial small subunit ribosomal RNA", at positions 358 to 774 of the family's 1533-position model. Lineage: Bacteria; Bacillati; Bacillota; Clostridia; Eubacteriales; Clostridiaceae. The record is from RNAcentral.